Molecule: ribosomal RNA, 742 nt
Filed under: uncultured bacterium
Lineage: Bacteria
Description: bacterial SSU rRNA
Rfam family: Bacterial small subunit ribosomal RNA
Source: RNAcentral
AGAGUUUGAUCAUGGCUCAGAGCGAACGCUGGCGGCAGGCCUAACACAUGCAAGUCGAGCGCCGUAGCAAUACGGAGCGGCAGACGGGAGAGUAACACGUGGGAACGUGCCCUUCAGUUCGGAACAACCCAGGGAAACUUGGGCUAAUACCGGAUACGUCCGUAAGGAGAAAGAUUUAUCGCUGAAGGAUCGGCCCGCGUCUGAUUAGCUAGUUGGUGAGGUAACGGCUCACCAAGGCGACGAUCAGUAGCUGGUCUGAGAGGAUGAUCAGCCUCACUGGGACUGAGACACGGCCCAGACUCCUACGGGAGGCAGCAGUGGGGAAUAUUGGACAAUGGGCGCAAGCCUGAUCCAGCCAUGCCGCGUGGAUGAUGAAGGCCCUAGGGUUGUAAAGUCCUUUCGGCGGGGAGGAUAAUGACGGUACCCGCAGAAGAAGCCCCGGCUAACUUCGUGCCAGCAGCCGCGGUAAUACGAAGGGGGCUAGCGUUGCUCGGAAUCACUGGGCGUAAAGCGCACGUAGGCGGCUUUUUAAGUCAGGGGUGAAAUCCUGGAGCUCAACUCCAGAACUGCCUUUGAUACUGAGAAGCUUGAGUCCGGGAGAGGUGAGUGGAACUGCGAGUGUAGAGGUGAAAUUCGUAGAUAUUCGCAAGAACACCAGUGGCGAAGGCGGCUCACUGGCCCGGUACUGACGCUGAGGUGCGAAAGCGUGGGGAGCAAACAGGAUUAGAUACCCUAGUAGUCC